RNAcentral lists this ribosomal RNA (444 nucleotides) under uncultured soil bacterium. Its description in RNAcentral is "bacterial SSU rRNA". It matches the Rfam family "Bacterial small subunit ribosomal RNA", at positions 26 to 518 of the family's 1533-position model. The record is from RNAcentral.
AGAACGAACGCUGGCGGCAUGCCUAACACAUGCAAGUCGAACGAGACCUUCGGGUCUAGUGGCGCACGGGUGCGUAACGCGUGGGAAUCUGCCCUUGGGUUCGGAAUAACAGUUGGAAACGACUGCUAAUACCGGAUGAUGACGUAAGUCCAAAGAUUUAUCGCCCAGGGAUGAGCCCGCGUAGGAUUAGCUAGUUGGUGAGGUAAAGGCUCACCAAGGCGACGAUCCUUAGCUGGUCUGAGAGGAUGAUCAGCCACACUGGGACUGAGACACGGCCCAGACUCCUACGGGAGGCAGCAGUGGGGAAUAUUGGACAAUGGGCGAAAGCCUGAUCCAGCAAUGCCGCGUGAGUGAUGAAGGCCUUAGGUUGUAAAGCUCUUUUACCCGGGAUGAUAAUGACAGUACCGGAGAAUAAGCUCCGGCUAACUCCGUGCCAGCAGCCGC